CACAAGUGUAUUCUAACGUUGCUGCAGUUAAAAGGCUCGUAGUUGAUUUAAGAAGACGUCUCUCUCUCUCGUGUGACUGCUUGAGGCGUAUCCGUUCUUCCGUUUCGGAGGCGGGCGCUUAGGUUUGCGAGAGGGUAAGAAGAAAAGACGAUUUGCUACUUUGAGGAAAAGGUGUGGCUUCAGCAUAAGAGAGUAUGCCUUUUAGCAUGGAAUAGCACGAUAUGGUUUUUGUGUCUUUGUCUCUUCUUUUCUUUAAUCUCAUUCGUGGGUAGAAGAGGAGGAGGGCGAGGAGCAAGAACAAUACAAUAUAUGGACAAGCAGCGGUGAUGGUAUUAUGUGCCGAGGGGUGAAAUCUUUAGACGCACAUACGACGAACAAAAGCGAAGGCAAUCACCGAACCUGUACCAUUUGA
This 412-nucleotide ribosomal RNA is filed under the name uncultured eukaryote. Its description in RNAcentral is "partial 18S ribosomal RNA". It matches the Rfam family "Eukaryotic small subunit ribosomal RNA", at positions 592 to 976 of the family's 1831-position model. The record is from RNAcentral.